RNA transcript from Mandrillus leucophaeus (drill), 565 nucleotides. It is a transcript of the gene named 60S ribosomal protein L14 pseudogene, with no coding region annotated. The transcript has 2 exons. Lineage: Eukaryota; Metazoa; Chordata; Mammalia; Primates; Cercopithecidae. The record is from RefSeq and is a predicted model, not a curated record.
CUCGCCUAACGCCGCCAACAUGGUGUUCAGGCGCUUCGUGGAGGUUGGCCGGGUGGCCUACGUCUCCUUUGGACCUCAUGCCGGAAAAUUGGUCGCGAUUGUAGAUGUUAUUGAUCAGAACAGGGCUUUGGUCGAUGGACCUUGCACUCAAGUGAGGAGACAGGCCAUGCCUUUCAAGUGCAUGCAGCUCACUGAUUUCAUCCUCAAGUUUCCACACAGUGCCCGCCAGAAGUAUGUCCGACAAGUGUGGCAGAAGGCAGACAUCAAUACAAAAUGGACAGCCACACGAUGGGCCAAGAAGAUUGAAGCCAGAGAAAGGAAAGCCAAGAUGACAGAUUUUGAUCGUUUUAAAGUUAUGAAGGCAAAGAAAAUGAGGAACAGAAUAAUCAAGAAUGAAGUUAAGAAGCUUCAAAAGGCAGCUCUCCUGAACAAAAUACAGUGCCUGGCAAACACCUUUACAAGCAAUGAUAGUAAUAAUAUGGCUGCCUCCUGCACUAGACUCUAUGGCUCUCCGAUGGCCAUGAGGAGGAUGGAUUUGGGGGCUUUUGACAAUAGCCUCCACUGA